AGGACUUCAAAUUCAUAUAAGUGGUACACUCAACCUUGUGCUACGGGUGUGGCUACAAUCUUUGGUCACUGAGGGCAGUCUUUUAUAAGGUGUUGGGUGCUUCUGCACCGAUAACAGGCAUUAUCAAUACACUGAUAAGGCAGGUCACCAUGUGAGUGACCACAAUGUUGACAAAGUUAAUUAGCUCAGGCAGGUGGAGCUGUAGGUGGGGGCAGGGCAAGAGGAAGGGCAAUUCUGGUUCAUUUGUUGGGAGGGUUACUCAGUGGGUUAAGCAAUCUUUUUUUAAGCUAUUGGGGUUGUUAUUGG
This 306-nucleotide long non-coding RNA is filed under the name Carica papaya (papaya). RNAcentral describes it as "long non-coding RNA (CPAP_LNC003526)". The record is from RNAcentral. Lineage: Eukaryota; Viridiplantae; Streptophyta; Magnoliopsida; Brassicales; Caricaceae.